Molecule: long non-coding RNA, 951 nt
Filed under: Marmota monax (woodchuck)
Lineage: Eukaryota; Metazoa; Chordata; Mammalia; Rodentia; Sciuridae
Source: RNAcentral
CUUGGGUUUCUUGGUCCUGAGGGUCUGAGGCAGCCUUCUUGGCGCCCUCUGCAGGCAAGGAUGGAGCUGCGUGGGCGGGACGUCUCUAGCACCUGAAAGCAGAACACUGCCCUGGCUGUGGUAGCCCACUCUGACCCGACAGCGUGGCCAUCUCAGCCUGGGGAGGCCCUGGGAGGCUCCAGGACUCAGGCACAGCAGUGUCUGACAAUAAGAACAGGGCACAGCCCGGGACCCUGCUCACAGCGCCUCCAGCCGAGUGGGGGUCAGAGCCGGGCCAGGCCUCUCCAGGUUCACACGCAGCCUCGCUAAGGCUGCUGAGCCUCCGGCACAGCCUUUCAGCCACAGGUGCUGCCGGGGACCCAGGCUGUCCCUGCUCCAAGCUGUCCCUGCUGCGGACCCCAGGAAGGCCCUGCCCAGCCUGAGCCUCCAUUUUUCAGCCUUUGGGACCCUCCGCCUGCCUAAGGAGGAGACGGGGACCGAGCAGCCAGCCGUCUGUGCAGUGUAGCCAACCGCAGCCCACCCACCAGGGCCCAGGCGGUUUAGAGGGGAGAAACCAGGGUAGUGCCUGCCCCUGGCAGGGUCGUCCGUGGGCUGCCACUGUGCAGGCCUGUUAGAGUGACAGCAGAAGCCCUGUGUGGGAGAGGAGGCUUGGUGCUGCCCUGGGCCUGCAUGGAGAUGAGCAGGCUCCGCAGGACACAGAGUGCUGAGAGGCGGAGCUGGGGGCGCAGGACAGAAGCUCUGGGGGUCCACCCCUGCACUCCCACUGCGCCCGAGAACCUGUACGCAGUGACCAGGGCGAAGGCAGGAGGGCCGGGCUGGGCCUGGGGCGCCCCUUGCUGGAUGGACAGGCACACUCCACAUGCUAUCCACGUGUGGCCCCGCCCUCCGAGGGGUCCACUGCCCCUGUUCUACAGAUGACAAAACUGAGUCCCCAGAGGCUCAAGGCUUGCC